AGUGAACGCUGGCGGUAGGCCUAACACAUGCAAGUCGAACGGCAGCACAGUAAGAGCUUGCUCUUACGGGUGGCGAGUGGCGGACGGGUGAGGAAUACAUCGGAAUCUACUUUUUCGUGGGGGAUAACGUAGGGAAACUUACGCUAAUACCGCAUACGACCUACGGGUGAAAGCAGGGGAUCUUCGGACCUUGCGCGAUUGAAUGAGCCGAUGUCGGAUUAGCUAGUUGGCGGGGUAAAGGCCCACCAAGGCGACGAUCCGUAGCUGGUCUGAGAGGAUGAUCAGCCACACUGGAACUGAGACACGGUCCAGACUCCUACGGGAGGCAGCAGUGGGGAAUAUUGGACAAUGGGCGCAAGCCUGAUCCAGCCAUACCGCGUGGGUGAACAAGGCCUUCGGGUUGUAAAGCCCUUUUGUUGGGAAAGAAAAGCAGCAGGUUAAUACCCCGCUGUUCUGACGGGACCCAAAGAAUAAGCACCGGCUAACUUCGU
This 491-nucleotide ribosomal RNA is filed under the name uncultured bacterium. RNAcentral's name for it is "partial 16S ribosomal RNA". It matches the Rfam family "Bacterial small subunit ribosomal RNA", at positions 29 to 506 of the family's 1533-position model. The record is from RNAcentral.